This 253-nucleotide ribosomal RNA is filed under the name uncultured bacterium. Its description in RNAcentral is "partial 16S ribosomal RNA". It matches the Rfam family "Bacterial small subunit ribosomal RNA", at positions 524 to 776 of the family's 1533-position model. The record is from RNAcentral.
UACGUAGGGUGCAAGCGUUGUCCGGAAUUAUUGGGCGUAAAGAGCUCGUAGGCGGUCUGUCGCGUCGGCUGUGAAAACCCGAGGCUCAACCUCGGGCCUGCAGUCGAUACGGGCAGACUAGAGUGCUGUAGGGGAGACUGGAAUUCCUGGUGUAGCGGUGAAAUGCGCAGAUAUCAGGAGGAACACCGGUGGCGAAGGCGGGUCUCUGGGCAGUAACUGACGCUGAGGAGCGAAAGCGUGGGGAGCGAACAGG